This 227-nucleotide ribosomal RNA is filed under the name uncultured bacterium. RNAcentral describes it as "partial 16S ribosomal RNA". It matches the Rfam family "Bacterial small subunit ribosomal RNA", at positions 15 to 231 of the family's 1533-position model. The record is from RNAcentral.
GAUCAUGGCUCAGGAUGAACGCUAGCGGCAGGCUUAACACAUGCAAGUCGAGGGGCAGCAUGGUCUUAGCUUGCUAAGGCUGAUGGCGACCGGCGCACGGGUGAGUAACACGUAUCCAACCUGCCGUCUACUCUUGGCCAGCCUUCUGAAAGGAAGAUUAAUCCAGGAUGGGAUCAUGAGUUCACAUGUCCGCAUGAUUAAAGGUAUUUUCCGGUAGACGAUGGGGA